GAUCCUGGCUCAGGAUGAACGCUAGCUACAGGCUUAACACAUGCAAGUCGAGGGGCAUCAGGAAGAAAGCUUGCUUUCUUUGCUGGCGACCGGCGCACGGGUGAGUAACACGUAUCCAACCUGCCCUUUACUCGGGGAUAGCCUUUCGAAAGAAAGAUUAAUACCCGAUGGCAUAAUGAUUCCGCAUGGUUUCAUUAUUAAAGGAUUCCGGUAAAGGAUGGGGAUGCGUUCCAUUAGGUNUUGGUUGUAGG
Molecule: ribosomal RNA, 251 nt
Filed under: uncultured bacterium
Lineage: Bacteria
Description: partial 16S ribosomal RNA
Rfam family: Bacterial small subunit ribosomal RNA
Source: RNAcentral